Molecule: long non-coding RNA, 300 nt
Filed under: Vigna radiata
Lineage: Eukaryota; Viridiplantae; Streptophyta; Magnoliopsida; Fabales; Fabaceae
Description: long non-coding RNA (VRAD_LNC016031)
Source: RNAcentral
AAACAUACAAUUAUUGAUCAUGAGGGCUUUUUAAAGGUUAUAUUGAGGCCAAGGCAAAGGUAGGAAAUUUUUUUGGAAUUUUUGGUUUUUGAAAUUGAUAUAGAAAGAGCAAUGGCAUUUGAUUUCAAAAACAACUUUAUUUUUUUCUUUCUAGGAAGACUUUUUUCUUUUUUAUUUUUCUCUAUUCUUUUCAAACUUUUAACUUUUUAUCUUCUUUUUUGCCUUCCUUUUUUUUUUGUGGUGAGACACUCCCCCACACACUUAUUCAUCACUUUACUUAUAACACAAUCCAUUACUUCU